This 944-nucleotide long non-coding RNA is filed under the name Carica papaya (papaya). Its description in RNAcentral is "long non-coding RNA (CPAP_LNC012523)". The record is from RNAcentral. Lineage: Eukaryota; Viridiplantae; Streptophyta; Magnoliopsida; Brassicales; Caricaceae.
CAAACACAUACAUGUAUAGAUGGACUGAUUCAUCAGGCGAUAUGGGUUUUGCAGUGAAGAUAUCAUGGCGGCUUGUGUGCUUUGUUGCAUUCAUCCUACUUUUUGCGUGGAGCAUCAAAGGUACGUACAUUAAUUAAAAAUAUUAAAAUUAAAUUCAUUCCUUCCCAUAAUUAUUGGAAAGUAAUUAACUAUUACUUUUCCCUAUUGUUUGUGUGUGUGUGUGUAUAUAUAUAUACAUAUAUGCACAUGGUAUAAUCAUAAUAUGUUGGUAUAAUUGAAUCAAAAUCCAAGUCAUGUUGAAUUUUGAUCGUGGUUUAUAAAUUUUUCCCGUAUUAUUAAUAAUAAGAUUCUAAGUUUUACUUUCUUAUAUAUAUAUAUAUAUAUGUAUAUUGUAGGUGAUGAGAUGGCUUUGAUCGUGGUUUAUAAAUUUUUCCCGUAUUAUUAAUAAUAAGAUUCUAAGUUUUACCUUCUUAUAUAUAUAUAUAUAUGUAUAUUGUAGGUGAUGAGAUGGCUUUGGUGCAUGGAGAAAUCGAUGCAGCGUCAAGAUCAGUGAAACAGCCAAGGAAGCUGAUCAUCCUGCUAAAAAAAUCUGAAGGCAGACCUUCUAGCCCAGCACCACUAAAAACAUCUGCAGGCAGACCUUCUAGCCCACCACCACCAAAACGUCCCCCAAAGCCACCAAGGUCAGGAAGGCCAUAACAUUUAUAAAGUUAACAAGUAACUUGUGUAUUGAUGGACAAGUGUUACUUUAUAUUAAUAAAACCUAAUUAUUGAGUUAAGAUUCUUAAUUUCAUUUCUCAACUUGUUCUACUAUUAGUAAACUAGACAUAUAUGUGUGUGUGUGUGCGCGCGCCUGUGUGUCAUGCUAUUGUUGCUUUUGAGUUACGUUCAACUUCUACUUAUUCACCAUGAAAAUAAGUUAUAUUUCAAUUAAGAAAAGGAGA